AAGAAGUGAAUAGUACCAAAAAAAAGGUGACAUGGUAAAGUGACGUAAGGAAUCUGAAAUAAGGAACAAAAGCCCAAAGCAAGUUUGAAGGCAACAAAUUGAAGAGUUCUUCUACGUAUUAUAAUUCAAAAAAGAAAAUCAUAUGAGACAAAAGAAGAUUCAAGAGCUGCGAUAGAAAAGCUAAUAAAGUAAUUCUACUUGUUCAAAGAACAGGACCUACAAACCACAAAAUGAGAAUGUUACAAUCUCCAUAGUAUUGCUCUUGCUCUGGUUCUUCAAGAAUGUAAACUAUCUUGAUGAACUUGACUUUGAUUUUGAUUCAAAGGCAAGUAAAGCUUGGUCUUAAAUCUCUGUCUUGAACUCGAAUUUAGAUUUGAUUUACUCUUCACAUGUGAUAUGAUGGCCUUCACGAACAAGUAAUUCUCUCUCACGAGCAAGUAACUUGAUCUUAAAUGCCUUGGUAAUUUAUUUGCUUUCGCUCCUGAUCUUGAACUUGAGCACUUAACUUGUAGCUUGUAGAGAAUCUGCGGCCUUUGAUCUACGAGCUCUCUGCUCGCUUCUUGUUCUUAAUUCCGGUGUCUUCUAGCCUUAAGAAGACAUCUAUUUAUAGUUGUAGGGAGUGGUUUGGCUCCGCGAUUUGAUUAGUCUGUUUGAACUGACCAAUGUCAUCUAGACACUUAAACAACUCUAUUAGUUGUUGGUUUGACUUGGUAUGCCACCCUUUCUUGACACAUGGCAUGAUUUCUUUAGCUUAUUUAUUUGGCUUGAAUUGUCAUAUCACUUGACACGUGUCAUAAUUUCUUCAUUGGCUCAUUUAUUUGGCUUGGAUUGCCACAUCACUUAACACAUGGCAUGAACCUGGCUUUAAGACUAGUCACUUGUACUUUGGGCUAGUAAAAUGAGCUCAUCUUUUGCAGUCCAACAAAAUGAUUUGGCCCAAAUAAAAUUAGACUUAAAUUCAGAGCCAUGAUGGAAUUAGAUAAUUAAAUUAAAUUUGGACCAUGUAUUUCUCGAAUCUAGGAACUUGUCAAAAUUUAACAUGGACUUUAAUUCCAUAACAAUUUACACGUUUAUAGGGUCACCAACGAAACUCAACCAAACACUAAACUAUUACCCGACAGAAAUAGAAGACAAAAGGGUACUCAUUUGAUCAUUCUUAAUAUCUUCCAUCAAUUUAAUAAUAACUAGAUAUAUAUAUAUAUAUAAUGCUAUAACCAAUUAGAAAAUUAUUUGUUUUCAUAAAUCCUUCUUCUAUACUAUAACAACAACAACAUAUAUCGUCUUUUGUUGCUUUCUUGAGUCGUGGGUCUCCUGGAAACAGCCUCUCCGCCCCUCGGGGUAGGGGGAAGGCUUACGUACAUAUUACAGUCCCGAAACUCCACUUGUGGGAUUAUACUGGAUCGUUGUUGUUGUAAUCCCAAACAAGUUGGAAUCUGUGGCAUGUCCAAUAAUGAUGAUGACAAUAACCUAUUAGAAGAACAUA
RNAcentral lists this long non-coding RNA (1483 nucleotides) under Nicotiana benthamiana. RNAcentral describes it as "long non-coding RNA (NBEN_LNC008493)". Lineage: Eukaryota; Viridiplantae; Streptophyta; Magnoliopsida; Solanales; Solanaceae. The record is from RNAcentral.